GUCAUUGGGUGUGGGAGACUGCCACAGCCUUCAAGGAAGGGAAUGAUUUCAAGGAGCAGAAAUAGAAUUCUUUCAGGACGCAGAAAAGCAUGAGAAAGGGAUAAAUUGAAAAGCAUGAAUUGUGUUCAAAGAACAAGAAGUGAUCAUAACUAAUACUCUAGAUAGAAGAUCGUGAAUCCUCCUGCUGUGUCAAGCACUGUGCUAAUCUUACACAAGCAUUGUUAACUACUGAGAUCAGGCUUAAAAGACAGGAACCAUUAUGAUUUCCACCUCAUUGGUAAGAAAACCGAGGCUGAGGGAAGUCAUAAACUUUACCCAAGGUCAUAGAGCUUAAAGUGAUAGAGUUUAUAGUUUGAAUCUUGUUCAUACUCAGUGAUAUACAAAAAUUUACAAAUCUAAUAUUGUUACAGUUUAAGGUACAACUUGAGCAUUAAACUAAGAGAAAUGUAUAUUGAUGAAAAAAACACUAUUCAUAAAUAGUGCUUCACUGCUGGGGGAAGAAAUCUGAUGCUCAUUUAGUAGGGACAAGGGAGCCAUUGUGCUCUGAACAGAAGUGACAGAUUCAAGUGUAUCAAUAUCAUAUAGAUAGUAUGACAAUAGAUUUAAGGAGAGUAUAAAUUUGAUUUUAGACAUCAACUCUGAGAUUUGAAUCCAAUAUCUCAAGGAACCAAGAGAAGAAGGAAGCUAACAUUGAGUUGCUAUUCUGCCAAGUAGAGACAGUAGUUGAAGUGUUAGUAGUUGAGGUCUUAAAUACAUGCUUGUCCAAAGACAAAACGAUGAAGUGGAACCCCAGAAACCAGGAAGGGAAGGGAGCAAGGGGGAAAGGGGACACAGAGUAUGCAAAGGAAUAGUAUUGUGUUCCAGUGGCUUGCCAGUCUGAUGGACUGAAGGAAAGAACCCAGAAAUGCCCAGUUCUGUCCUAGACAAAUGUAUUCCCAUCUGCAGACUCUAAGCGUAAACUAAUAUACCAAAGGGUCAAAGCAAGGCAGUGGAAGGGUUCACUACUUAAAGAUUUGCUUCUAACACUAUGAAUUCCAUGAGACCAGAAAUAGCUCUGUGGAUGAUUCCUACCUUCCUUAGUGGCAUAAGCUUAGUAGCCUGGACCAAUACACAAUGAAAGGCAUUUUUGUUGUUUUUUAGGAGUGAUAAACAGGUAAUCCCAGUAAUUUUGAUGUACAGAAGGGUAAGGGCCAGAGAGUCACAGGGAGAAUGAGACCAUAUCCACUGUCAUAGGGGUUGAUAAAAUAUACAUAGCAGCAUUCCCUCCUCUUACUGGGGAGAAUGGGAGAUUGGUUAUGGUUGCUGAUUAAUUGUUUUUGUGUUAUUGAAAGAAAGAAUUUAUGGGAAAGGAAGAUUUAUUUUGAUUCACAGUUUCAGAGGGUCUCAAGAAAUUAUGGCAGGGAAGGCACUGCAGAAAGGCUGUGUGGCAGCGAGAUUACAUGGCUGGGUUUCUUGACACCAUUGAAGACCAGGAAGAAGACAGUGGUUAGAACCAGGUACUGGGAAGUAACUUUCAAAGUUCCAUCUCUGCUGAUCUACUUCUGGUCAUGCUCCGCCUCCUAAAGGCUCCACACCCUCCCAAAAUAGCACCAGCGUAACCAAGACUGGAAUGCAACUCAAGAGAUUUAAACCAGAACAACUGCCCGCUGCCCUACAUUCAAUACAGAGACAGGAUGGAGAGAAGGGUGGGGAACAAGGAGCCUUAUUUAAGAAAGAAACUUAUAAAGAGAGGUGGCUAUACGAUUUUCAUUCAAUAUGAAGGUAGAAGCAGGUGAUUUGGGAGAAUACUAGUUCUAGUCAGAUUUUAGAUGACUAUGAUGACCUUCUGAAGAGUUUAUCUAGUAAAGCAGUAGGUUUAGAGCAAACUUGAUAAGGCUGAAGAUGAAGCAGGUGGCAAAGCCAAUGGAAAUAAUUAAUAUGGACCGUACCUUUUGAUAGCUUGCCACAGAGGUCCUCUGAAAGGCUCUGCCCUGCAGACUAUCAAAGCAGAUGCUGAGACUUAUGGGCAACCUUUGGGCAGAUUGCAGGGAAUCUUAUGAAAGAAGUGGGAAACAGUAAGAUCUGGAGAGGACAGAAGCCCCAGAAGGAGAGCAACAGAACCAAAAAUUCUGAGUACUGGGGUCUUCCCUGAGACUGAUACUCCAACUAAGUAGCAUGCAUGAAGAUAAUCUAGAACCCCUGCACAGAUGUAGCCCAUGACAGUUUAGUCUCCUAGUGGGUUCCAUAGUAAUGGGAACAGGGACUGUCUCUGACAUGAACUGAUUGGCCUGCUCUUUGAUCACCUCCCCCUGAUGGGAGAGCAGCCUUACCAGGCCACAGAGGAAGACAAUGCAGCCACUCCUGAUGAGACCUAAUUGAUUAGGAUCAGAAGAAAGGAAAAGAAGACCUCCCCUAUCAGUGGACUUGGGGAGGGGCAUCCAUGCAGAAGGAGGAAGAAGGGAGGGAUUGGGAGGGGAGGAGGGAAGGAACUACAGGCAUGACACAAAGUAAAUAAUGUGUAAUUAAUAAAAAAAAAAUUAAAAAAAAAAGAAAGACAUGCCAAACUUCAAGGGCACAUUUAGGCUGGGAAGUUUAUAGUUUCUGCAAUUGAUUUAUUGGAAGAUGAAUAAACUGUGAGAAAAAAAGGAUGUAGCCAAUGUAAUAGAGUUAUGCAUGCAAAAGGGGGGGAGGGAAGCACAUAUUUAAUGAACAAAGAACUUGAAAGUUUAACUGAUAAAAAAAAUAAAAUUAAAAAAAAAAAAAAAAAAAGAACUUGAAAGGCAGGAGAAAGGAUGGUAUUAAGGUGGAAUCAAUCACUAAAUAUUACAGAAAAGAAAAAAAAUGCUCAAAAUGAAGAGAAAAGAAGUAAACAUGCCCGGAAGGAGAACCCUGAACAAUAAAUCUAUUCUUACUGAUUUAAGAAGAAAAAAUAAGAUGUGGGCAAGCUGUGUGAGGGCAGCGAAGACAAAAGGAAAAAUGAGUUCUAGCCACGUGAGAAAAUUUAUGGCAGGGAAAAUCUUAUCAUGUUGCCGCUGAUUUUUAGGGAGUGAUGUCUGAGAAUUAAAGGUUCAAAUGAACUCAUCAGAGUAGAGAAAAUGGGUUCAGAAUGUGCUCUGUGAUUUAGGAGCAUCACAUGUGGUGGGAGAGUGUCUUUGAAAAGGCCCCGAAGAUGAUUUCACCAUAGCAUCUUGAGCAGAGGAAAUGAAGUUCUCCUUGAGGUCUGAAGAGCCUCAACAAGUAGAGAAAGAGAGAUGAUUACAGCUGUCAGUACUGAAAAUUACUUACAGCCAAGGAAAUAAAAAGCUUCUCAGGAAAAAAAAAUAAAAGGAGAAAGAAUAAGGUAAUUCACCAAAGUCAGAAGAGAAAGAAAUGGAGAGGGAAUAGCUGUAAAAGGCUAAAUGUUUGUCUUUCUCUGCUUCCAAGUUAAUAUAUUGAACUCUAAUACCAAUGUGAUGGUUUUGGGAGAUGGAGUGUUUUGAAAGUGAUUAAGCCAUAAGGGUAGGACCCUCAACAUAGGACUAGUAUACUUUACAUGGGGCCCCAGCGUGCUCUCCAGACAGCUCCCUGCUGUGAAAACAUAUAAAAUAAUGGCAGACUGGAACCUAGAAGAUGACUGUCACCAUAACCUACCCAUGAUGCCCCUGCAUCCCUCAGACAUGCAAGUCCCAGAACUGAGAGAAAUGUGUUUCUGUUUAGAACCCACCCACUCUUUGACAUUCUUACGUAGCUCUAACUGACUAAAAUAAUUGUUUUCCCCUGUCUUUAUUACCAUCUUCCCCUAAGUAAAUUAUAUCAGAAUGUGUGUGUCUUAUUGCCACCACUGGCCUGCCUUUCCAGGCACCAUAAUCACCAGGCUGGACUGGGUUAGGAAGCUUAGGCUGGUGGGUGGGUUAGGCAGGAUCUCGGUUGGCAUGAGCACAGGAGAAAGAGCCUUCUCCAGAGACGGCGUUCAGUGAAACAGCUCUCUUUAUGGGGGGCGGGCAAGGGCUAUACAAACCUGCGGGAGUAAGUAGGGGUUUUGUGGUGAGUGUGCAUCCUUGGCUAGGGCUGAGGGGCUGGGAAUGUUUCAUUUGUGUGAAGAGGAAUUCCAAGUGCGUGCUGACGUGUCCUUAUAGGGAGAGAGGAAGUUUAGCCUGAAACCUGGCCACCAGGCUGUGACUACCUCAGGAUGGCGGGGGUCUCAAGGCUAUGUGCGCUGGGACAUGCAGGCCCAGAGCAGGGAGGAAGCAGUCCUAUUCCUGCCAGUCUCAGGACUAGAUUUUCAGGGCUUGGACACGUCUUGACCUCAUGCUUGCUCCGAUUGGCUGCACCUCUCCCUCCAUCCCACCCCCCAGCUCUGCUGGUAGCGUGGUGUUUCCUGCUCCACAGUUUACAGUGACUAACUUACUUUGAUCAACUUUUGUCACACAAAUGGCUUAGCAUGGGUUCUGAUACUACGCUGCUUGAACUUGCACAACCGUUAUAGGCAAGUUAUUCUCAUUCUUCCUCAGCCUCAGAUGCUCUGUCUGUCCAAAGGGUAUUAAUAACAUAAUCCCAACCUCAUAAGUGAUUAAAUAUAUUGCAUCAAGAACAGUCAUAGAAUGACACCUAGUUCCACUUUGUUAAAUAUUCUUAAUUAUGUGAGCAUUUGCAUUAUAGUGAUGUAAAAUGUUUUGGGAAUUCAUGGAGUGUAUACCCUCAGGGAAUCCACAGGCUAUUAAGAUGGAUAUUAAUAGAUUAGAGAAAAAUAAUAGUCAAAAUAGAAUUUAAAAUUUGGAGAGCUAGUGAUUGUUCCCCAUACAAUGUCUUAGGCGCUGAGAAUGAAUUAAAAAAGAAAACACAAUGAGAUACUUUGCCUUCGUGGGACUUGGAGUCUAGUGAGAGGAGAGAGAAAGUAAGAGCUUGAAAGAAAAACAAAACAAAACAAACAAACAAACAAACAAAAAACUAGAAUGUGGAAAGAAUGGCCAGCUUAGGGCUUUAGUGAUGUUUUUCGAAAAAAGUAGUUAGGAUAUGCCCUAAGACACACUCCUAAAACAAAACCUCAGUUUAGAAAAUGGGCAAAGACAACAAACAAACAAUUAUGUUUUUUAUAGUUUCUUAAACCUAUGGUUGCUCUACGGAGUGUGUGAUCCACUGGGUGUUUUGCAGAAAUUGGCUUUCUGAUUGAGCUGUCUCUUUAUAGACACUUGCUAUACAAGCGGUGGCAGAACCCCACUUGGCUGGAGAAUAUUUUGCUGGGGAAUCAGAGGGCUAUCUGUUGUAAUUCACACAAGUGCUACUGUGUGGAGGCCCAGAGAGAAGAAAGGCCUUCCCCGGAGGUACAGAGGGGCUCUCAUAGGAUCUGUUGCACAACUAGACAGCUUUACAAUUUGUUUCAAAAUACUUACAGAUUUCUAUGACAGAGAAGGUUAAAUCAGACUGCAGAAGGCUAGGGAAAGAUGACUGACUGAAUAAGCACAUUGUGGCCUCCGCACAAUACAUCCUAAUAUUGCUUUAUCCAGAAAGGUUAACCAAACCGGGCCAUUUUUAGUUAUCACAGCUGGUUGGAGGAGGGGAUAUGGAAGCUGCUGAACUGAUUAAAUUAAACAGGGCUGUCCCACCCACGCUACCCACCAACAAGAAUUAUCAGGUCCCAAAAGUCCAUUUUGCUGAGGUUCAGAAAUAUUAGGGAUUGCACAGAAUUGCAGCUGGGAAAAGAAAGAUGCAAGCAUCGAGCAGGCGAAGGAAGAGAAAAAUAGUCCAAACUGUAGAUCACAGGACUCAAACACAGUUCCAAAGUACUGAUGAUAUUAAGAGGAGGGCAGUAUUUUUUUUUUUAAGCUUGUAUUAGAGAUGUGACAGAAAGCAGAUUUGGGAGCAGAAAAUAAAGAUGCCCGGCACUGGGAUUUGGGAAAGGGGGCAGUCCUCAUUAACACUGAUGAAGGAUGUUUAUACACAUACACACAGAAAUGACUUAACACCCCUCCCCCAUCAUGUGGGUCGGGACCUUUGCUGCCCUAUCUAUUAGUGAUUUAUCUCUUUCUUGUGGAGAUGACUGAUAAGAGGCAACCGUGGAAGGGAGGAUUUCUUUGGGCUCACAGUUUGAGGGAAUACAACCGUGUUGGCAAGGAAGAAAUGACAGCAUGCAACUUCAUGGUGGUGGGAUUGUGAACUCGGAGAUGGAGACGCAGAAAAAGAAGUUUUGGCCAGAUCCAGAGUUGGUUGUAACCCAUAAACCACAAACCUUAUGGUCCUAUUUCUGCCAGCGGGGCCCAAUGUCCUAAAGGUUCUGCAAUCUCUUGAUGCAGAACCACCAUCUGGGACCAAAAAAAGCAGAGUUUAAAAAACAGUUCCUACAGGACUCUUUUAAACUCUAACAGAAGAUGAAUCAGUGAGUUUCUAGAAGCAUAUUAAGGACAUCUGCUUCCGCUGAAUGCUUUUAUCAUCUCAUCUGUCAACAUACGAUCCUGAAAGGUGCUGUAUGACCACAUGGUUAACUCUAGCUGAAUUUGUCUGCUGGCUGAAUUUAUGUGAAAGAAGGAUGAGGAAGGCAGGUGCUUUCUUUUCUUCAUUUAUAACUAGCAAACGCGUGUCCACGCAAACGUGCAGACAAAGCAUUUAGCUCUCCUGCACCUUAGCAGAAGACCAAGGGAGUGUGAAGGAGGGCCACUUUCUGCCCUUUGAUUCAAGCCAAGCCUCUUGACCCAGAAGCAUAAAGCAGGCUCGUUCAUCUUCUGCAGAAGUAUCAGAAGACACUGUUCUCAUGACUAUGAAGGCUUAUUAGUCAGCGCCUUCUACUGUACAAAGCAGAUAUUGGUUUGAUAAAAUGCCUUGUGGGUCAGUUUCCAUGAAUUUUUCCUAGAGAUGCUUGGGAAACAUCCCAAAAAUAAAUUAGGAAAAAUAUCUUUAAAUUUGAGAAGUCAUUUUCAGUAGAAAUUGGGUUGAGUCGAAUUGACUUCAGGAGUAAGUUCUCCAUGUGGUGAGGAUGGAAAUUCUCUGUGGGUGAAGGGGUGUGUGUGUGUGUGUGUGUGUGUGUGUGUGUGUUCCCCUUUGUAGAAGCAGUAGCCUCUUACAGGGAGAGCUGCUGUCUCAGUAGGGAGGGGUAGGUAGAAAACCAAAGAUCCAAACAGUCCCAGAAGAUAUGCUUUCAGACCCAGCAGAGGUGGGCGUGUUCUCUUUGUGUAUAUAAGCCCUCUGAGCAGGAAGAGCCCUCAUCACAAUCCAUCUAGGUCAUAAGCACUGUUAGAACCUUAACACACACUUUUGCACUUAAGCGAGCACACACCUCCCCUCCCCCAAAACAACAGACUUUCACCUAAUGGUCUUCAAACUGCCAGUCCCAAAGCAACGUGCUCACUCUGAUUAAGCGAGUGAAUUCUUUAAGAGAACUUUCGGAAACGCAGAAAGCACAGCCCUGCCAGGCACGGUAUAUAAGCCUAUGGCUACUUCCACAUUUUGAUCCUGAUUGCAGCCUUCCAACAUCCUUUACUCAUUUUUGCUCAUUUUUUUUCUUCUAGCCUCUUACGUGAUCCAAGAACAGACUCUAUGCUACUUGGAGCUCAGACUGUAGGGAGUGUUUUAAAGGCAGACAGUAGGAAGAAACGGGCCAUCUCUGAAACGUCUGCUAAGUUACCUUACUCCUACUCUAAAAAACCAGUUAUAAACAUUCCUUGUCAGAGUUGUGGGAGGGGUUUAGAACAUUUAACUUGUUGGUCAGUUGAAAUGUGUGGAUGCCACGUAUUGGCAUCACUGAGCCAGUCAAAUUCCUUACAAGUUGGUGUUGCCAGGGCUCUUCAAGUGUGCUGGCAUUUCAUCCGGGUGUCUGUUUGCUGUCUGCUUUGAGUUGUAUUAAGCUCUUAAUAGCGAUUAGCACAAGUGGCUGCUUCCUAUUCCGAGGCAGGUACUGUACCAUAGGCAGGCGUUCCUUACAUUUUGACCUCUGUGUUCCCUAAGGAAAACCUUUCCCAAGGUCCCCAUCUCAGACAUUUAACUAGUUCCUGUUCUAAUUGAACAUUUUGAUUAUUUAUUAAAGUGUUACUUUAUAUAUUGUGUAUCUUCAUAUGCAUCAAUUUAAAUACAUAGAAAAAACCACUUAUCUGAAAGCAGAAGACAAGGAUAUAUAUAUAUGGAUAGUUUUUGUCAAAGUGAUACAAACCCGAGUCUUCUAGAAAGAGGGGUCCUCGGUUGAGGAAUUGCCUCCAUCAGAACUAGCUUAGGAGCACGUCUGCAGGACAUUUUCUUUAUUAAUGAUCGAUAGAGGAGGGCCUACCCACUGUGAGCUGCGCCAUUCCUAUGCGGGUGGUCCUGGAUUGUAUUGAGGAAGCAGGAUGAUUAAACCAGACAGUAGCAUUCCUCUGUUGUCUCCAGUUUCUGCCUCAGUUCCUGUCUGCGUGUUCCUGCCUUGGCUUCCCUUAAUGAUAGAGUAUGACCUGUCAGCCAGCUAAACACCUUUCCAUCCCAGUAGCUUUCGGUCAUGGUGUUUAUCACAGCAACACAAAGAAAACUAGAACAUGCACUGUGUCAAUUUGGACUAUAUACCUUAGCACAUAUGACGCCAUGUCAGAGGAACAAGGACCAUUCUGACCUAAGAGCCCAGCACGUAGACCCCUACACCUGCCGAAACGAGAGCAAAGACUUAGUCUAUCAUAGUCCACAGUUCUGGUAAAGUCCCUAAAAGCACUAUCCUUGCUUUUUGGACUCUGUAAAUCUACUUAUUGCUCACUGUUCUUGCUGAUGGGUGUUUAUGUUUUGUGUGCAUGAAAAGAACAUGUUUUGUGUGCAUGAAAAGCCAAGAACAAUAAGGCUUGUGGUGACAAGAUUUGGGCAACUUCCUCAUGUAGCUUGCUGGUCAUCCUAAAAAGGACUUUCCAUUGGCUUUAAGAGUCUAUAUGCAUCAGUGGACUUAG
Long non-coding RNA from Meriones unguiculatus (Mongolian gerbil), 8846 nucleotides. RefSeq lists it as uncharacterized. NCBI's taxonomy places the organism in Eukaryota, Metazoa, Chordata, Mammalia, Rodentia, Muridae. The record is from RefSeq and is a predicted model, not a curated record. The transcript has 3 exons.